This 429-nucleotide ribosomal RNA is filed under the name uncultured archaeon. RNAcentral describes it as "bacterial SSU rRNA". It matches the Rfam family "Archaeal small subunit ribosomal RNA", at positions 474 to 903 of the family's 1478-position model. The record is from RNAcentral.
UACCAGCUCUCCGAGUAGUGUGGAUGUUUAUUGGGCCUAAAGCAUCCGUAGCUUGCUAAGCAAGUCCCCUGUUAAAUCCACCGAUUCAAUCGGUGGAUUGCGGGGGAUACUGUUUGGCUAGGGGACGGGAGAGGCCGACGGUAUUUCCGGGGUAGGGGUGAAAUCCUAUAAUCCCGGGAAGACCACCAGUGGCGAAGGCUGUCGGCUAGAACGCGCCCGACGGUGAGGGAUGAAAGCUGGGGGAGCGAACCGGAUUAGAUACCCGGGUAGUCCCAGCUGUAAACGAUGCAGGCUAGGUGUUUGGGCGGCCACGAGCCGCUCUAGUGCCGCAGGGAAGCUGUUAAGCCUGCCGCCUGGGGAGUACGGCCGCAAGGCUGAAACUUAAAGGAAUUGGCGGGGGAGCACCACAAGGGGUGAAGCUUGCGGUUU